CCCUUAGAUGUCCGGGGCCGCACGCGCGCUACACUGAAGGAAUCAGCGUGGCUUUCUCCCUGACCCGAAAGGGUUGGGAAACCCGUUGAAUCUCCUUCGUGAUAGGGAUUGGGGCUUGAAAUUGUUCCCCAUGAACGAGGAAUUCCCAGUAAGCGCGAGUCAUAAGCUCGCGUUGAUUACGUCCCUGCCCUUUGUACACACCGCCCGUCGCUACUACCGAUUGAACGGUUUAGUGAGGGCCUCGGAUUGGUCUCGGCCCGCUCUUUACCGGGCGGCGCCGUUGGUCGAGAAGACGCUCGAACUUGAUCGUUUAGAGGAGUAAAAGUCGUAACA
RNAcentral lists this ribosomal RNA (333 nucleotides) under uncultured eukaryote. RNAcentral describes it as "partial 18S ribosomal RNA". It matches the Rfam family "Eukaryotic small subunit ribosomal RNA", at positions 1470 to 1796 of the family's 1831-position model. The record is from RNAcentral.